RNAcentral lists this ribosomal RNA (311 nucleotides) under uncultured bacterium. Its description in RNAcentral is "bacterial SSU rRNA". It matches the Rfam family "Bacterial small subunit ribosomal RNA", at positions 28 to 334 of the family's 1533-position model. The record is from RNAcentral.
GACGAACGCUGGCGGCGCGCCUAACACAUGCAAGUCGAACGAGCGAGAGAGAGCUUGCUUUCUCAAGCGAGUGGCGAACGGGUGAGUAACGCGUGAGGAACCUGCCUCAAAGAGGGGGACAACAGUUGGAAACGACUGCUAAUACCGCAUAAGCCCACGACCCGGCAUCGGGUUGAGGGAAAAGGAGCAAUCCGCUUUGAGAUGGCCUCGCGUCCGAUUAGCUAGUUGGUGAGGUAACGGCCUACCAAGGCGACGAUCAGUAGCCGGACUGAGAGGUUGAACGGCCACAUUGGGACUGAGAUACGGCCCAG